This 343-nucleotide ribosomal RNA is filed under the name uncultured bacterium. RNAcentral describes it as "partial 16S ribosomal RNA". It matches the Rfam family "Bacterial small subunit ribosomal RNA", at positions 338 to 698 of the family's 1533-position model. The record is from RNAcentral.
CCUACGGGAGGCAGCAGUAGGGAAUAUUGCUCAAUGGGGGAAACCCUGAAGCAGCAACGCCGCGUGGAGGAUGAAGGUUUUCGGAUUGGAAACGCCUUUUGGUAGAGAAGAGAAGGACGGUAGCUAACGAAUAAGCACCGGCUAACGCCGUGCCAGCAGCCGCGGUAAGACGGAGGGUGCAAGCGUUCCUCGGAAUCACUGGGCGUAAAGAGCGCGUAGGCGGGAUAGCACGGCAGCUGUGAAAUCCUAUGGCUUAACCAUAGAACUGCAUUUGAAACUGUUAUUCUAGAGUAUGGGAGAGGUAGGUGGACUUCUUGGUGUAGUGGUCACAUCCGUCGAGCUC